Long non-coding RNA from Alnus glutinosa, 567 nucleotides. RefSeq lists it as uncharacterized. The record is from RefSeq and is a predicted model, not a curated record. The transcript is spliced from 3 exons. NCBI's taxonomy places the organism in Eukaryota, Viridiplantae, Streptophyta, Magnoliopsida, Fagales, Betulaceae.
UCCUUCUCCCCUGCGUCUCCUUCUUUCUUGUUCCUCCUUUUCGUCCCAGCCCAGAAAGAGACCAAGAGAAAGAGGAGAGCGCGCGCGAGAGAGAGACAACUGAUCCAAGAGAGAACAACGGAAUCGGUUCCCCCCUCUUCACAACAAAUUGCAAAAAGAGGAGGCAAUAAAAGUUCGUGUGACCAAAGCAAGUGAAGUUAGUGAAAGAGAAAAGAUUUGGUGGAACUUCUGAACUGGUUGCGGAGUUGGUCUCACUAAAUGGAUUCAAAGCUGCGUAUGCAAUAAAAGAUAUAUAUGGAGCAGAAGGACCCUGAGGAUGGAUGGUCUUCCCUUCUUUCUUCACCUGUUUACUUUGAAUACAUUGUUAUUGACAUCUAGAUGUUAUGCGUGUCAGAUACAUUGUUAUUUGGAAACUUUGACAUGAGUUGUAAAUUUGCAGAAUAGUGGUCUUCCUUUAGUCUAGUGUACGUAUUUGUGUUUAUAGUGUAUUCAAAAUUUCCUUGAGUCUAGUGUAUUUGUGUUUAUACUUUAUAGUGAUUAACAUGGCCGGGUUCUUGUUAUAGCGUA